This 497-nucleotide ribosomal RNA is filed under the name uncultured bacterium. Its description in RNAcentral is "partial 16S ribosomal RNA". It matches the Rfam family "Bacterial small subunit ribosomal RNA", at positions 28 to 507 of the family's 1533-position model. The record is from RNAcentral.
GAUGAACGCUGGCGGCGUGCCUAAUACAUGCAAGUCGAGCGAACAGAUGAGGAGCUUGCUCCUCUGACGUUAGCGGCGGACGGGUGAGUAACACGUGGAUAACCUACCUAUAAGACUGGGAUAACUUCGGGAAACCGGAGCUAAUACCGGAUAAUAUAUUGAACCGCAUGGUUCAAUAGUGAAAGACGGUUUUGCUGUCACUUAUAGAUGGAUCCGCGCCGCAUUAGCUAGUUGGUAAGGUAACGGCUUACCAAGGCGACGAUGCGUAGCCGACCUGAGAGGGUGAUCGGCCACACUGGAACUGAGACACGGUACAGACUCCUACGGGAGGCAGCAGUAGGGAAUCUUCCGCAAUGGGCGAAAGCCUGACGGAGCAACGCCGCGUGAGUGAUGAAGGUCUUCGGAUCGUAAAACUCUGUUAGUAGGGAAGAACAAAUGUGUAAGUAACUAUGCACGUCUUGACGGUACCUAAUCAGAAAGCCACGGCUAACUACGUG